GCUUUUCUCUCUUGGUUUCUGGGAAAUUUCUCUCCCGAUUUCUUUCUUCUGCUGUUGAUUCUCUGAGAAUUCAAGCCCUAGAAAAUUUUCUUCUUGAUUUUGUCCAGGUUGCUUUGUAUGAUUGAUUUUUUCGUUGAUGCUCGACUCUCUCAAAACUCUGGCACUCGAAGUUGAUCAUGCAGACUCCGUAGUGCAGCUGAAACUGUGUAAUAUAGAAGUCAUGGUGCAUAGUUGUAGAUGCACUUCAAGGCCUCUCAUUAUUUACGGUGGAUUAACGGAGGUCAGUUUCGCCAAUAACAGAGGCCUCUCAUAAGCUGUAAUCAAAUCUUAGAGACAGAGAUGAUUUUCUAUUCGAUUUCGCCAAUAGCAGGAUGUCCUGUUUGUUGAUUUGACAGGUAUAAUAUCCCUUGCUAGGAUUUAGAAGAAACUUUUUGAUUUUUAUAUUUAUAUCUUCCAAUCAAUUGUACGGUUUACAAUAAUGGUCGUGUCUGUGAUGGGUGAAAGAAGAAAAUGGUCGUGUCUGUGAUGGUUGUGGUUAUCGAGUUUGUGAUGAUGAUGACUAUUUCUUGAGGUUUUUUUUUCCUAUGUUCCUUACUGUAUUCUCACCAUGGAUUUUGGAAGAAUCAAGGUACGUAUGUGCACACUAACUAAAUCAAUAAUUACAUGCAUAUGAUAUAUGAUAUCCAAUAGUAUCAUUAGAAUCUUUUUUUUUCAUCUCUCUUUAAACUGUGAUAACAUGUUUCAGUUAUAUUAUCCUUCCAGAUGAGACGUUGGUAUGAUUAAGGCAGAUAUAAAGAGUGUGUAGUGCAUCAAUUUGUCAAAAACGUGCAGCAGCUGAGAAGAAGCGAUGGGAUUGUUGGAAGCAGAGAAGAGACUAAAACAAGCUAGGUUAAUGCAAGUGAAACGUGUUGCUAAAUUUGUUUAUCACCAACGUGAAAUGGAGAGGAAAAGAGUCAAGGACCAGUUGGAAGAUCGACUAUAAAGGAGAGGAAGUCUUCAUACUUCUGUUCGUGUUAACCGGUAUGAGAUGCACAAGCAGAGAGAUUUCCUUUCAAGAAGACUGGCAAGGCCUCUCAAGCUUGACAUCUUUGAAUUUUAGAAGAAGCAAUGCCAUCACAGCUCAAGGAUGAGCGUUUUCCGAAUUUAGUGAAUCAGAUACAGAAGACAUCUGUUGUGGCUGAGGUAAUGCUUCCACUCUUCCAUUAUAGAAUCCUAAACUCAGUUUAAUAAGGAAAUUUUUAUACACAAAACCAUGGAUUCCUAAUCCGUGUAGUCUAUAUAUGGAAAUAGUUAACCAUCUCCGGUCUAUAUAUAAGAACAUAGAUUGAUGAACCAUGGAUUCCUAAUCAGUGUAGUCUAUAUACGGAAACAGUUAACCAUCUCCAGUCUAUAUAUAAGAACAUAGAUUGAUGUUUCAUUGAAGAAGGAGAAGCACGUUAUAAUGUGCAAUAACGCCAUGGAAACUGUUCAUCGACAAUAAAUAAGCAUUUGCCUCAUACUUCUUAGCUUCAAAUAACCACGCAUUUUCAUUGAGAGAAAAAAAAAAGGAGGAGAAGAAGAAGCGUAUAAAGGCUUAUAUGGUUAAGCGACUUGGGGUUCAUAUGGAUUAUAGUCUUAAAGGCACGGGGCGAGACGAAGCCGAGCCACGCCAAAUAAGAAAUGCAUCCCGACGGGAUAAGGAGACGUCGCGUAACACCAAUUAACAAAUGCAUCCGGACAGGGCGAGGCGAACCCAAACCACACCAAUUACAAAAAAAAGUGAUGGUGGAUGGUUUUCCGGGACACCCGUUGCAUAGCAGGGGCAUAAAAUCUAGAUAUUAUAACGAUAUUAUCAUAUGAUUUAACAUUCCAAAAACCCUUAAAAUUCAUUUAACGUAGAAGGUCAGAACAUAUUGAUGUUGACCUUUUGGUGAAAGAGUUUUAAGGCUGGAUGAUGAGAAUGUGUUGUUCAAAUGCGGACUAGUUACUAAACGGCUAGAUUGAUUACACUUCCUUGGGUUUGGAUCAUCAACUGGCCGAUCAUGCCAUAGUAUUGAACAGCUAAUUCAAUGGCCCCGUUAUCUAUAAUCAAGAACCAUGUUUCAGGGCAUAUGGAAAUUUUGUAGGGCAUGUCAAACAAGGACAAAAACGGGUCAUUAAAAGGUAAUUUUGAAAGCCCCAUAUCCACAUAUUUUUGAUAAUGACAUAAUUAUCCUUAUGCUAUUAGCGGUUAAAUACUAAUUAUUAGUUGUUAAUAAUCUUGAUUAAUGUUAAUAAUUAGUGAUUAAUGUAUAUCAAUUUAGGGAUAUUUUGAUUUUAUAUCCCAACUUCAUGAUCAGUGUUACGUUUGGGUCCCAUAAAAUUCAAUAUUAGAGUUUAGGUCCCGGGACCGUAGUUGACCGUUAAUAAUUUUAUUUAAUUCAUAUUUGGUUAACAACCCCAUAUACCGUUAGCAUGUGACCAACACACUCAAAUUAAACUGAUAAAAUCAACUGUCAGGAUGUGUGUGAGAUGAUUGGUGAUGCAGAGUCGUUGGGAACUAUUCAAAAACACUUGUUGUGCGUCUUGUUGAUUUUGUUAAUGGAGAUAUAACUGCUGAUUUUGUUAACCUUUGUACACAUCUCCUUCUUUCCAAUUUCGAGUUAGAUUAAAACCCAUAAUUCUACUUACACUCAAACUCUAAAAUUUCCCCCUAUCGGCCAUUAAUCAUUAUAACCCGUUGCUAACAGCUCCUCUCCAACUAGUUUUUGGGUUCAGGGAAACCUUCAAUUAUUAUCAAAUCCAAC
This is a long non-coding RNA of Papaver somniferum (opium poppy), 2765 nucleotides long. RefSeq lists it as uncharacterized. The transcript has 4 exons. NCBI's taxonomy places the organism in Eukaryota, Viridiplantae, Streptophyta, Magnoliopsida, Ranunculales, Papaveraceae. The record is from RefSeq and is a predicted model, not a curated record.